CCACAAUGGGGAAACCCUGAUGGAGCGACGCCGCGUGCGGGAUGAAGGCCCUAUGGGUUGUAAACCGCUGUUCAGUGGAAAGAACAUCCUCCGGCUGAAUAGGUCGGAGGCCUGACGUUACCACUGCAGAAAGUCCCGGCCAACUCCGUGCCAGCAGCCGCGGUAAUACGGGGGGACGGAGCGUUGUCCGGAAUCAUUGGGCGGUAAAGGGACGGCGUAGGCGGCGAGGAAA
Molecule: ribosomal RNA, 232 nt
Filed under: uncultured microorganism
Description: partial 16S ribosomal RNA
Rfam family: Bacterial small subunit ribosomal RNA
Source: RNAcentral